GACGAACGCUGGCGGCGUGCUUAACACAUGCAAGUCGAGCGGUAAGGCCCUUUCGGGGGUACACGAGCGGCGAACGGGUGAGUAACACGUGGGUGACCUGCCCUCAGCUCUGGGAUAAGCCUGGGAAACCGGGUCUAAUACUGGAUAUGACUCCAUGACGCAAUGUUGUGGGGUGGAAAGCCUUGUGCGGCUGAGGAUGGGCCCGCGGCCUAUCAGCUUGUUGGUGGGGUGAUGGCCUACCAAGGCGACGACGGGUAGCCGGCCU
This 265-nucleotide ribosomal RNA is filed under the name uncultured bacterium. RNAcentral's name for it is "partial 16S ribosomal RNA". It matches the Rfam family "Bacterial small subunit ribosomal RNA", at positions 28 to 293 of the family's 1533-position model. The record is from RNAcentral.